Molecule: ribosomal RNA, 406 nt
Filed under: uncultured bacterium
Lineage: Bacteria
Description: partial 16S ribosomal RNA
Rfam family: Bacterial small subunit ribosomal RNA
Source: RNAcentral
AAUGAACGCUGGCGGCAGGCCUAACACAUGCAAGUCGAACGAGUGGCGGACGGGUGAGUAAUGUCUGGGAACCUGCCUGAUGGCGGGGGAUAACUACUGGAACCGGUACCUAAUCCCGCAAACCUUCCGCUGUGCACAGAUGGGAUUAGCUUUUUGGUGGGGUAACGGCUCACCAAGGCCACGAUCCCUAGCUGUUCUGAGAGGCUGACCGGCCACACUGGAACUGAGACACGGUCCAGACUCCUACGGGAGGCAGCAGUGGGGAAUAUUGCGCAAUUGGCGCAAGCCUGAUGCAGCCAUGCCGCGUGUGUGAAGAAGGUCUUCGGGUUGUAAAGUACUUUCAGCGGGGAGGCGUUACCCGCAGAAGAAGCACCGGCUAACUCCGUGCCAGCAGCCGCGGUAAUUC